This 331-nucleotide ribosomal RNA is filed under the name Shigella flexneri. RNAcentral's name for it is "partial 23S ribosomal RNA". It matches the Rfam family "Bacterial large subunit ribosomal RNA", at positions 603 to 935 of the family's 2925-position model. Lineage: Bacteria; Pseudomonadati; Pseudomonadota; Gammaproteobacteria; Enterobacterales; Enterobacteriaceae. The record is from RNAcentral.
ACCUUUUGUAUAAUGGGUCAGCGACUUAUAUUCUGUAGCAAGGUUAACCGAAUAGGGGAGCCGAAGGGAAACCGAGUCUUAACUGGGCGUUAAGUUGCAGGGUAUAGACCCGAAACCCGGUGAUCUAGCCAUGGGCAGGUUGAAGGUUGGGUAACACUAACUGGAGGACCGAACCGACUAAUGUUGAAAAAUUAGCGGAUGACUUGUGGCUGGGGGUGAAAGGCCAAUCAAACCGGGAGAUAGCUGGUUCUCCCCGAAAGCUAUUUAGGUAGCGCCUCGUGAAUUCAUCUCCGGGGGUAGAGCACUGUUUCGGCAAGGGGGUCAUCCCGAC